UCGAACGGCAGCGCGGGCUUCGGCCUGGCGGCGAGUGGCGAACGGGUGAGUAAUAUAUCGGAACGUACCCAAGAGUGGGGGAUAACGUAGCGAAAGUUACGCUAAUACCGCAUACGAUCUAAGGAUGAAAGCAGGGGACCGCAAGGCCUUGUGCUCCUGGAGCGGCCGAUAUCUGAUUAGCUAGUUGGUGAGGUAAAGGCUCACCAAGGCAACGAUCAGUAGCUGGUCUGAGAGGACGACCAGCCACACUGGAACUGAGACACGGUCCAGACUCCUACGGGAGGCAGCAGUGGGGAAUUUUGGACAAUGGGGGCAACCCUGAUCCAGCAAUGCCGCGUGAGUGAAGAAGGCCUUCGGGUUGUAAAGCUCUUUUGUCAGGGAAGAAAAGGGUCUGGCUAAUAUCCAGAUCUGCUGACGGUACCUGAAGAAUAAGCACCGGCUAACUACGUGCCAGCAGCCGCGGUAAUACGUAGGGUGCAAGCGUUAAUCGGAAUUACUGGGCGUAAAGCGUGCGCAGGCGGUUUCGUAAGUCUGUCGUGAAAUCCCCGGGCUUAACCUGGGAAUGGCGAUGGAGACUGCGAGGCUAGAGUUUGGCAGAGGGGGGUAGAAUUCCACGUGUAGCAGUGAAAUGCGUAGAGAUGUGGAGGAACACCGAUGGCGAAGGCAGCCCCCUGGGUCAAAACUGACGCUCAUGCACGAAAGCGUGGGGAGCAAACAGGAUUAGAUACCCUGGUAGUCCACGCCCUAAACGAUGUCUACUAGUUGUUGGGUCUUAAUUGACUUAGUAACGCGCUAACGCGUGAAGUAGAC
RNAcentral lists this ribosomal RNA (810 nucleotides) under uncultured bacterium. RNAcentral describes it as "bacterial SSU rRNA". It matches the Rfam family "Bacterial small subunit ribosomal RNA", at positions 62 to 869 of the family's 1533-position model. The record is from RNAcentral.